This 174-nucleotide small RNA is filed under the name Chrysemys picta bellii (western painted turtle). RNAcentral's name for it is "TUC338 (ENSCPBG00000026621.1)". The record is from RNAcentral. Lineage: Eukaryota; Metazoa; Chordata; Testudines; Emydidae.
UUGUCAGCACUAGAUUUCAAGCUUUUUCCCCACAAACUAGAUAAAGCACAGGCAGCAGCAAUUCAAGCUUCCUCAUGCUACCCCACCUACUUACAUCAACCCUGACCUACAGGGACUACCUCUCAGGGCAACAGGGUAGCUCAUUCUCCAUGCCUACUCAACCCUGUGGCCUCA